GACGAACGCUGGCGGCGUGCUUAACACAUGCAAGUCGAGCGGUAAGGCCCUUUCGGGAGUACACGAGCGGCGAACGGGUGAGUAACACGUGGGUGACCUGCCCUCAGCUCUGGGAUAAGCCUGGGAAACCGGGUCUAAUACCGGAUAUGACUCCAUGACGCAUGUUGUGGGGUGGAAAGCCUUGUGCGGCUGAGGAUGGGCCCGCGGCCUAUCAGCUUGUUGGUGGGGUGANGGCCUACCAAGGCGACGACGGGUAGCCGGCCUGAGAGGGCGACCGGCCACACUGGGACUGAGACACGGCCCAGACUCCUACGGGAGGCAGCAGUGGGGAAUCUUGCGCAAUGGGCGAAAGCCUGACGCAGCGACGCCGCGUGAGGGAUGACGGCCUGG
This 390-nucleotide ribosomal RNA is filed under the name uncultured bacterium. RNAcentral's name for it is "bacterial SSU rRNA". It matches the Rfam family "Bacterial small subunit ribosomal RNA", at positions 28 to 419 of the family's 1533-position model. The record is from RNAcentral.